CAAACUGCAAUGAAGAGUAAAGUACACUUAUAAAUCAGCAACAACAGAGAGCCUGGGUAGAUGAGAACAGGUUUGCUUGAAUAAGUGGAAAAUGGACUCGAAGCAGGAUACCGAGUGUAGCCAAUACAGGUACAUAAGGCUAUCAUGGGUUCGCCCACUACAGCGACGGAGCAUAAGACGACUAUCUGUGCUCUUUGAGGAACCAAUCGAGAGAUGGGUUUAAAUAAAGGUGGUAACACGAACUAAACGUUCGUCCUUAUA
This 261-nucleotide non-coding RNA is filed under the name Alkalibacterium sp. RNAcentral's name for it is "T-box sequence". It matches the Rfam family "T-box leader". Rfam says of the family: Uncharged tRNA acts as the effector for transcription antitermination of genes in the T-box leader family. T-boxes are found upstream of many aminoacyl-tRNA synthetase genes and some amino acid biosynthetic genes usually in Gram-positive bacteria. The record is from RNAcentral. Lineage: Bacteria; Bacillati; Bacillota; Bacilli; Lactobacillales; Carnobacteriaceae.